UACGGAGGGGGCGAGCGUUAUUCGGAAUUAUUGGGCGUAAAGGGCGCGUAGGCGGCUGUACAAGUCAAAGGUGAAAUCCCUCGGCUCAACUGAGGAACUGCCUUUGAAACUGUACGGCUUGAGGCCGGGAGGGGGUAGCGGAAUUCCCAGUGUAGCGGUGAAAUGCGCAGAUAUCAGGAGGAACACCGGUGGCGAAGGCGGGUCUCUGGGCCGAUACUGACGCUGAGGAGCGAAAGCGUGGGGAGCGAACAGG
Molecule: ribosomal RNA, 253 nt
Filed under: uncultured bacterium
Lineage: Bacteria
Description: partial 16S ribosomal RNA
Rfam family: Bacterial small subunit ribosomal RNA
Source: RNAcentral